CCUACGGGAGGCAGCAGUGGGGAAUAUUGCACAAUGGGGGAAACCCUGAUGCAGCGACGCCGCGUGAGUGAAGAAGUAUUUCGGUAUGUAAAGCUCUAUCAGCAGGGAAGAAAAUGACGGUACCUGAUUAAGAAGCCCCGGCUAACUACGUGCCAGCAGCCGCGGUAAUACGUAGGGGGCAAGCGUUAUCCGGAUUUACUGGGGGUUAAGGGAGCGUAGACGGCAGCACAAGUCUGGAGUGAAAUGCCGGGGCUUAACCCCGGAACUGCCUUGGAAACUGUGGAGCUAGGGUGCAGGAGAGGUAAGUGGAAUGCGUGGUGUAGCGGUGAAAUGCGUAGAUAUUAGGAGGAACACCAGUGGCGAAGGCGGCUUACUGGACUGUAACUGACGUUGAGGCUCGAAAGCGUGGGGAGCAAACAGGAUUAGAUACCCUAGUAGUC
RNAcentral lists this ribosomal RNA (440 nucleotides) under uncultured bacterium. Its description in RNAcentral is "partial 16S ribosomal RNA". It matches the Rfam family "Bacterial small subunit ribosomal RNA", at positions 338 to 795 of the family's 1533-position model. The record is from RNAcentral.